This 1014-nucleotide long non-coding RNA is filed under the name Salvia miltiorrhiza (redroot sage). Its description in RNAcentral is "long non-coding RNA (SMIL_LNC012627)". Lineage: Eukaryota; Viridiplantae; Streptophyta; Magnoliopsida; Lamiales; Lamiaceae. The record is from RNAcentral.
GUCUGCAACAUGUCAUUAACCGAGGAGCUAGCUCUCAAUGUCAAGAUUGACGAGUUGGCACUUAUUUUUCAAGACAAAUAUAAUGAUCACAUUGAAGGUUGGAGAAAAAAAAAAAGGAAAAGAGUUUGUAUAAUUAGAUGCCCAAAUCCAAAUCUUUCCAAACAUAAUAGUCCACACAAACUCAAAUUGCACCAAACUGACCUCUCCAAUGGUCCAACAAAACCCUAAAAUCCCUAUACGAAAAUGACAAAACGAAGUUGAUUGAAGUUCAUUUGUACAUACGUACACUUGGUGCACGAAACAUUUCCCAACAUUAAUCAUAACUCAAUGUAUAUUCUCAACAAUUUUUCCAAAUAAAUUUCCGAUCACAUCCAAAUUAAUAAGAAAAAUAAAUGAUGGAAAAUCAAACCUUUUUUUUUCUUCAUGUUUAUGCAUGUACUACAUAGUGGUAGUAUGUGUGUGUGUGUGUGUGGAGAAUGGUUUAAAUUAAAACAUUCUUUAUUAUUAGAGAGUGAAUACUACAUGUUGUAUAUAUAUAGGAAGAUCGAGGAGGAAUGGAGUAGCCAUGAACACUAGCUAGAGUGCAAAAUAUAUGGUGAAUGUCAUAUUCAUAGGCCGAAUUAUUAGUUGGGGAUGAAUACAAUUGAGUACUCAAUUGCAACAAGAAUAAAUAAUGCCCAUUUUAAACGGUCUUGCAUGUAUCCAUUACCUUGCUGAACCUAGAUAAUGAUGCCUUUACAUCAACAUAUAUUUUAUCAACACAAAUUCAUAUUUAUGAAUUUCCUCAUCUCAUCAUAUUUGCGAUAUAACUUAAUCAAAAGCUCACCUUGUGACUCUUACCAAAAAAAAAAAAAAAAAGCUCACCUUGUGACAAUAAUGGAAGACAUUAUUAUUUCCGAAAGCCGAGUUCGAGAGGUUACACAAAAGUGCAAUUAAUGAGUACAUAUAACUAAUUGCCUCUGUGAAAUAAUUAAUUAAGUAGCUCAUAUUCAUCUAUCUAAAAUGAAAUAAUCC